GUAAGCUCUCAGCUACUGCUCCAGUGCCAUGUGUGACUGCCUACUGCCAUGCUUCCUGUCAUGGUGGUCAUGGAUUCAAUCUAUGGAGUAGUAACAAUUCUUUUCCAUCGGGAACAUCUAAGCAUUCACAUCACCACCACAACCACACAAGAACAGUGAGAAGGAAGCCACCCCACCCCCGUUGUCACCUGCAUGCAGACGGGGGCAAAGACAGUCCAACCUGAGAAGAUGGCACCGUUCUCUGGACUGCAAGAACAGGAGAAAUCUACUGAGCACAAGCAUUCAUCAUAACCUAACUCCUGGAUGCUGACUCAGUGUGACCAGCCUACUGAAGCACCGGCUGCUGUGCCUUCCCUAUGCUGACAAACUGUACUUGAACUGUGAGCCACAACAAUUUCACCCUUGAAGUGCUUUGUUCGAUCACUUUAUCACAGCAACAGGAAAUAAUGCACCUAGUGAAGGAGCCUGAUUUUGUGUAACGCUACUUGACAGCCAUCUUUCUAACUGUUGAAAAGCCUUUUCUAAGCCACAAUCAAAUGUCAAUAUGAAAUAAAUGUAUA
This is a long non-coding RNA of Mesocricetus auratus (golden hamster), 560 nucleotides long. RefSeq lists it as uncharacterized. The record is from RefSeq and is a predicted model, not a curated record. The transcript has 3 exons. Lineage: Eukaryota; Metazoa; Chordata; Mammalia; Rodentia; Cricetidae.